RNAcentral lists this transfer RNA (74 nucleotides) under Nostoc sp. Its description in RNAcentral is "tRNA-Ala". It matches the Rfam family "tRNA". Rfam says of the family: Transfer RNA (tRNA) molecules are approximately 80 nucleotides in length. Their secondary structure includes four short double-helical elements and three loops (D, anti-codon, and T loops). Lineage: Bacteria; Bacillati; Cyanobacteriota; Cyanophyceae; Nostocales; Nostocaceae. RNAcentral also lists the same sequence under 12 other names. The record is from RNAcentral.
GGGUUCGUAGCUCUAAUUGGGAGAGCGCCUGUUUUGCACACAGGAGGUUGUGAGUUCAAGCCUCACCGAAUCCA